GCCAGAUCGUGCCACUGUGUUCCAGCCUGGGCAACAAAGCAAAACUCUUGUCUGAAAUAAAUAAAUAAAUAAACAAAAAACAACACAAGAAAGAGAGAGAGAAAGAAAGAAAAGAAGGAAGAAAAAAGAGAAAGAAAAUUAGAAUGGGAAGAAUUUCAGUUUUACAACUGUAACUGAUAAUUUUAAAUGUAUAUUUAUUGUAAAAUAAAACCCGGAUACAUAAUCCAAUGGAUCCAAUGUACGGCUUAACUAAUUACUACAAAGUGAACUGCCUCGGAGACCAAGAAAAAGAACUUUGCCAGCCACAGCAGAAGUCUCUCCACGCGCCCCACCCCAGUCACUCCUUCCUCUUCCAUAAGUAGUCAUCCUUAUUCUGACUCACAGGACGCACUGAUUGCAUUUUUAGCAGCAAGUCCGCUGGAGGUGGGAGUCGCUCGGGGAAGCUUCUAGGGCUGUCAGGGCCCAUUCCCUCCGCUAACACCCCUCUCUCCCCAACCCUCAGGUUGCGCAAGACCUCUCCGGCCAGACCCCUGGGGCGGGCUCAGCAGUCCUCCUCCACGCUCAAGAUGCAGUUUGAUGUAUCCGUAGAGGACGCAGUUUCAAGUUUCUCCAGAUAGAGAAGCGAAAGAGGAUCCGAAACCGCGCUUCACGUCGCUCUGGCAGAAAGCAGAAGCGCGGGGUUGAGGGCGCAGACCUGGGCAGAGGAGAGGCGCGCAGGGUCACGCAUGCUCCACUGAGCCGUGGGAAGUGUCCACAGCCAGCCAUGGGAGCCCUGUGGGUUCUGAAGCUGACAUUUCUGCUUUAGGUGCCUUAAGCUGAAGAAAUGCAUAGUAGAAGGAAUUGGAGUGCAGGCCUGCCAUUCCCCAGCUCUUUGAAGACAAGAUCAUGCAGAUACUUUUCAGCACACACGUCUGGUCUCCCUGGCAAGUGCCCAGCUCUGGGCCUGUACCCUCCCAGCAGCGCCACCCAAGGUGGCCAGCCUGAGCUCAUGAGCUGCUCACUGGGGUCCCUCCCCUGACCCUAACCCUGCUUCAGUCACCCACUA
RNAcentral lists this long non-coding RNA (1045 nucleotides) under Piliocolobus tephrosceles (Ugandan red Colobus). RNAcentral describes it as "lncRNA (ENSPTEG00000033654.1)". Lineage: Eukaryota; Metazoa; Chordata; Mammalia; Primates; Cercopithecidae. The record is from RNAcentral.